Molecule: long non-coding RNA, 621 nt
Organism: Alligator sinensis (Chinese alligator)
Lineage: Eukaryota; Metazoa; Chordata; Crocodylia; Alligatoridae
Exons: 3
Source: RefSeq, a predicted model, not a curated record
CCUCCCCGAGCAGGGCUGGGGGAUUCCCCCCCCCCUUCCCCGGCUGCUGCAAUGCCUUCCCCUCCCGGGGACAGGGGGAGAAGGAGCCGCUCUGCGCCACGGAGUCCUUUGGCCGUUUCUUUUCGUUUUUAUUUUCCUCUUAAGAAAGCCGUUGUGUGGAUAGGGGCAUUGGCGAGGCAUAGGGGGUGCACACGGCUGAGAUGGGCCGCACCCCCCCCUGGAAGCGCCGGCCCCAAACCCAGACGUACCGGCCGAAGUGCACUGCCAGUUUUGGCACUGAUCUGGGGCAGCAACCCAUGGGGCAUAUCUGAGCUCAAGAGCCAUUUGAUCCUACCCACAAUGUCGGGGCUUUCAUGGUGGAGGGCUUUGCCCACGGAGAAUUGUGCUGCAGCUGGAUGUGUGCACUGCUGCCAGGUGGGGUGAAGAAGCAGCAGCAGAGAGAAGCAGCCAGUUCCUGGCACCAGCUCCCCUGAACCCAAAUUGGGCCAUUCCAGCCCACUGCUAGAAAAUGUUGUCCACUGCUGAUCUACAUCACCAUUUGCAAACCACCCCUGGACAAACACAGCCUUUUCAGAGAAACUGGAAAGCCACUGGAGCCACAAAGUCUAAGUCGUUUAAUAA